CGGGUGAGUAACACGUGGGCAAUCUGCCCUGCACUCUGGGACAAGCCCUGGAAACGGGGUCUAAUACCGGAUACUGACCCCCGCAGGCAUCUGCGGGGUUCGAAAGCUCCGGCGGUGCAGGAUGAGCCCGCGGCCUAUCAGCUUGUUGGUGAGGUAAUGGCUCACCAAGGCGACGACGGGUAGCCGGCCUGAGAGGCGGACCGGCCAAACUGGGACUGAGCAGACCCCAACACUAAUACGGGAGGCAGCAGUGGGGAAUAUUGCACAAUGGGCGAAAGCCUGAUGCAGCGACGCCGCGUGAGGGAUGACGGCCUUCGGGUUGUAAACCUCUUUCAGCAGGGAAGAAGCGAAAGUGACGGUACCUGCAGAAGAAGCGCCGGCUAACUACGUGCCAGCAGCCGCGGUAAUACGUAGGGCGCGAGCGUUGUCCGGAAUUAUUGGGCGUAAAGAGCUCGUAGGCGGCUUGUCACGUCGGUUGUGAAAGCCCGGGGCUUAACCCCGGGUCUGCAGUCGAUACGGGCAGGCUAGAGUUCGGUAGGGGAGAUCGGAAUUCCUGGUGUAGCGGUGAAAUGCGCAGAUAUCAGGAGGAACACCGGUGGCGAAGGCGGAUCUCUGGGCCGAUACUGACGCUGAGGAGCGAAAGCGUGGGGAGCGAACAGGAUUAGAUACCCUGGUAGUCCACGCCGUAAACGGUGGGCACUAGGUGUGGGCGACAUUCCACGUCGUCCGUGCCGCAGCUUAACGCAUUAAGUGCCCGCCUGGGGAGUACGGCCGCAAGGCUAAACUCAAAGGAAUUGACGGGGGCCGCA
This 809-nucleotide ribosomal RNA is filed under the name Streptomyces pilosus. RNAcentral's name for it is "bacterial SSU rRNA". It matches the Rfam family "Bacterial small subunit ribosomal RNA", at positions 103 to 925 of the family's 1533-position model. The record is from RNAcentral. Lineage: Bacteria; Bacillati; Actinomycetota; Actinomycetes; Kitasatosporales; Streptomycetaceae.